This 74-nucleotide transfer RNA is filed under the name Carteria sp. SAG 8-5. Its description in RNAcentral is "tRNA-Met". It matches the Rfam family "tRNA". From Rfam's summary of the family: Transfer RNA (tRNA) molecules are approximately 80 nucleotides in length. Their secondary structure includes four short double-helical elements and three loops (D, anti-codon, and T loops). Further hydrogen bonds mediate the characteristic L-shaped molecular structure. tRNAs have two regions of fundamental functional importance: the anti-codon, which is responsible for specific mRNA codon recognition, and the 3' end, to which the tRNAs corresponding amino acid is attached (by aminoacyl-tRNA synthetases). tRNAs cope with the degeneracy of the genetic code in two manners: having more than one tRNA (with a specific anti-codon) for a particular amino acid; and 'wobble' base-pairing, i.e. permitting non-standard base-pairing at the 3rd anti-codon position. Lineage: Eukaryota; Viridiplantae; Chlorophyta; Chlorophyceae; Chlamydomonadales; Chlamydomonadaceae. The record is from RNAcentral.
GCCUGCUUAGCUCAGUUGGUUAGAGCGCCCGUCUCAUAAGCGGGUUGUCACAAGUUCAAAUCUCGUAGCAGGCA